ACCUAGCUGUCAAAAAAGCAUGAGGCUCUUGACCUCAAAGUUAUGAGUUUGAGUCCCAUGUUGGGUA
This 67-nucleotide transfer RNA is filed under the name Canis lupus familiaris (dog). It matches the Rfam family "tRNA". Rfam says of the family: Transfer RNA (tRNA) molecules are approximately 80 nucleotides in length. Their secondary structure includes four short double-helical elements and three loops (D, anti-codon, and T loops). RNAcentral also lists the same sequence under 1 other name. Lineage: Eukaryota; Metazoa; Chordata; Mammalia; Carnivora; Canidae. The record is from Rfam by way of RNAcentral.